Long non-coding RNA from Xiphophorus couchianus (Monterrey platyfish), 3830 nucleotides. RefSeq lists it as uncharacterized. The transcript is spliced from 3 exons. Lineage: Eukaryota; Metazoa; Chordata; Actinopteri; Cyprinodontiformes; Poeciliidae. The record is from RefSeq and is a predicted model, not a curated record.
CAAAGAGAAAAAUCUAUGGAUAAACUGAUAUAUUUAUAAACUGGUCCUGACAUGAAUGGAAAGGAAAGUUAAUAAGCUCUUUUAUGUAUUACAACAGAACCUUGAACCAUGAGUUCUAGUGUUAGCUUGUUUUACACUCUUCUUUGACAUGAGGUGUGGUGGGAACUAGUCACACAGGUUAAUGGUGAUUAACCUGUGUGACUAAUAUCUGGGUAACAAAAGAGACUGGCGCUUUGACAAAGCAUCAUUCUGAAAAUUUGACACACCUACUUCAUCGGUACAAUGAUGACUAAUGAAGUUACUUGACUGUUACUAGGAAAGGAUAAUUGUUAAAGAGAAGGCAAUAGGACAAAUAAUGGAGCAAGCUCACUGGUUGUGUGUACUGUAUACUACAUAAUGGCUGUUGUGAUACGCUUGCACUUGACAAAACUGAAGCGUCACAGAAGAGCUGCAGCUUCAGGCUAUCUGGCUCAUACAUGAAGUUGCGACAUGCGUCAUGAAUUACUCAGCAUGAGUGGAUGGUGAAAAGUUGAGUGUGAAUGCUACAUCGGAAGAAAUCCAGCUAACUGCAUCAAGCGCUGCCUUUACAGCAAUUUCUCGUUCUGGACAAACAUGCUGUGUGUUUCAUCUAUAAAAACCGACCGUAAAUAAUGGCCACAAUAGUUGGCCACCCUCCAGGAAGAUGCCACCUUUAAAGAGAAAAAACAGGCCAAGUGAAACUUCUUUGAACAGACAAAAUAAACAGAGCGAAAACAAACAAUCAAAGUUAAUGGACUUGAUAGAUGUAGAUGAUGCAUAAAAGGUGUGAGGCUUAGAAGUAGAAGAACCUUCUCUAAACCCGAGAAAUGUCUCCUGAUGAGCACAAUUAUCAUGUCAUUGUGACUUCUAGUGUUAUAACAAUAAAUGUCACAAAACACUGUAAUAAAAUUUUAAGUCUUUAUUACUCAUCCUUGGCAAUAAAAAAUGACAUGCAGUUUCUAUCUGCAGAUGGAAACCAGACUACCCACUCACGCAGAGGGAAAAAAAUGAACUUUAUGCAGAAAGUUCCUGGUUGAGAGGUGAACCCAGAAACUUCCUGUUGUGAAACAAUAGUGCCAGCAGCUGCAAAGCUCCCAUAUCAGUCCUCAGCACAUUAUUCCAAAAGAAGCAUCCUUUAUAAUCUUUAACCAUGCAUCCCCUUCUAGAGAUAUUAGUGACUGGCUAAUUAGUGACUAAGUGAGAAUCACAUACCAAGAUUGUGAUAAACCUUUCUUUCUUAUAAGUCUUAAUUUUUAAAUAUAUAAAUCUGUCCCUUUAAAUUGAUUUCUAAGUCAUCAUGUUGGAAUGGUUUAUUUUUAGUGAUUUUGUUCUGACUCAUCCAUUGAAAAUCUAAUAAAUAUAGGUUUGGUGAGCUCUUAAGAUCUCUAUAGCUAUAAGGAAUUCAUGAGAACACCAGACGCUGAAUAUUCCAGUUUAAAAAGUAUGGCUUUUACCCUGCCAAUGCUUAUUAAGGACCAGAUGAGUAACAUCCAGUCUAAUAGCCCAAGUUCUAGUAUUUGCACAUUCACAUGAUCUUAGAAUCACAAAGAAUAAAUUGUGUUUUAUAAAAAGAAAUUAGUAAAACUUAUAAAACUUAAAUUUUAUUAGUGUUACAUAAACAAUAAAAUGUAGACUCAAGGAAAACAAUGCUUCUCUUGUUGAUGGCAAACACUGAUUAGACUACAGUGUCUAGAAUAAAUCAAACUAGGAGAGAUGACGUGUGCACAGGUGAAUGAAUGAUUGUAGUGUCAACCAGAUUGGAGUUCUCAGAUUAGAUAAAGCCUAAACAAGUGCCGGCUAUUCUACCUUUUAUCAUGCUGCAGCUGAGAUUUUUUUUUUUUAUGUGUUGUUUCCUCAAGAAAUGGCCUCUAUCAGUUGUACUGAACUCAGAGGUUUCAGAAAACACUUCUUGUAACAAGCUGACUUAAAAGCCAAUGAGGAAAAGAAAGCUUGCUUUCAGUAACAUUUUCCUUUUACUGAUGAAAUAAUUAUUAGCUUUUUAAAAUUUUCUCAGUUUAUCUUUGUCUGAAUUUAAAAUUAGUUUGGUGAUCUGGAACAUGUUAAAACAGAAGAAAUUCCAUAAGACAGCAUUUAUUAUUUUUAAAGAUUUUUACUGACAGCAAUCAGGCGGAAAAUGGGCAGAGAGAGGAAGGUGGGGGCGACAUGCGGCACAGAUCGAAAGGUUAGGAAGUGAAUCCCAGAUGGCUGUGUCAGGCACUUAUAGCCUCGUUAUAUGGGGCGUAGGCUCCACCACUACACCACAGGCUGCCAGAGAGGGCAAAUACUUCUGCACAGCGCUUUAGCUUUCCCUCAGCAUGAAGGAUCACUGCUAAAUCUGUGCAUUACAAUGUUUUUUUAAUGGAUGGAUGGAUGGAUGGAUGGAUGGAUGGACACCAUGUUUCAGAAAUCAAAUUCAAGCAACAAAAAUCAUGGUGAAAUGAAUUUUGUUUUAAAAUAAUACCUGAUUUGACUCCUGCUGAGAGUAGAGCUUGAUUAAUUCUGGCAAAGUCUCUAUGUUCUGCUGAAGGAAGUGUCAACUUUUGCUCACAAGCAUUGCAGUUGAUUAGUUUCAAUAAAUCAAAAACACCACACCUGAAGAAACAUUUAACUUUUAAUCUUAAUGCAGAAUCUAGACCUUCUGUGGGAAAGUACAACUUACGGAAAACAGGUUGAGAUUGAUAAAGCACGAUACUUUGUUUAAUUCAACAGAGCUCAAUGACAGCAAGACUGAUGUAACUCUUGGCUUCAGGAACAGUCAGGGUUUAAAUCAGGCAAAAGCGCAGCAGACAGUUUUUUUUAACCAUGUGUUAUGGCUCCAAAGGUAGCUUGCAGACAUUGCUCUGUAAAUAAAAUGACAGCUCUAUUAGAGAAGGUUUAUCUUUGAAAAGUCAAAGAUGAAGGAGCAUUGCCAAUGGAAAAAAGAACUAGAGUAAGUUAUCUUUCUCGCUAUGACUACCUGAUGUAAUAACUUUAAACAACUUAAAACCAAAAAGAAAAAGCUCAACAGCCUUUAAAGUUGGUGCUGCACCACCUCAAAUCCCCAGGUAUGGAUUAGCAGCAUGGAUUUCCAAUAAAAGUGACAAACACACUGUCACACACAUAUAUUCAGACUUUUGUCUGAUUUGUGUGUUUUCUUUGAAAAAUAUAUUAUAGCAUUUUUUUGUAUCUUUUGUUGUUUUUUGUUAUCAACUUUAUACAUUAAGACCAUUUCUGAGUCAAUUAACAUUUUCCUCAUUUUAAUGUUUUUCUUUUUCUUUGUCGUAUUUGUGUGGUCAUUUUUCCUACAACAGUAUUCCUAUUGGCAAGCUUCCGUGUCAUGACAUUUUCCAAACUUGUUCUGCAUUGUUUGUAUUUUCGGUCAAAUCUGGAAUCUCUUCCUCAUAUUCUCCAGAUGCAUAGGUGUCUGUAGAAUUUGUUCUACAUGAUUUCCCUUGAAUAACUUCAUUUUCCAUGGAGAACAUGUUCCAUGUAGAUGCAGAAUUGUGCGUUUACAAUUUCCUUGUUCCGGCUAAAGUUAGAAGUAUCUUUCCCAUGCAUCCUAAGCCAUGAUGACAGAUAUGAUGAGAUAUGCAUUGUCUUUUCUUGUGAUCUAGUUAUUCAGUGUUUUGUCUUUGGUCACUUCAAAGUAUUUACAUGUAAUUUGCAAUAUUAGUUUUUUUCUCUCUCAGAUUGUUACUGAUUCCAUUUUACUCCACACAAAAUGUAGAAUCAUCAGUCAUUGUAUGAAACCUAUCAUAUCAUCAUGUGCUACCAAAACACAAAAAGACCAAUACUUAUGUCACUAAUGCAACUUGGUAAAAUCUUAACUCUUA